GUGCCAGCAGCCGCGGUAAUACAGAGGGUGCAAGCGUUAAUCGGAAUUACUGGGCGUAAAGCGCACGUAGGCGGUUUCUUAAGUCAGAUGUGAAAGCCCCGGGCUCAACCUGGGAAUUGCAUUUGAAACUGGGGAACUAGAGUGUGUGAGAGGGGGGUAGAAUUCCAAGUGUAGCGGUGAAAUGCGUAGAGAUUUGGAGGAAUACCAGUGGCGAAGGCGGCCCCCUGGCACAACACUGACGCUCAGGUGCGAAAGCGUUGGGAGCAAACAGGAUUAGAUACCCCGGUAGUCC
RNAcentral lists this ribosomal RNA (292 nucleotides) under uncultured prokaryote. RNAcentral describes it as "partial 16S ribosomal RNA". It matches the Rfam family "Bacterial small subunit ribosomal RNA", at positions 505 to 796 of the family's 1533-position model. The record is from RNAcentral.